Non-coding RNA from Sorex araneus (European shrew), 195 nucleotides. Lineage: Eukaryota; Metazoa; Chordata; Mammalia; Eulipotyphla; Soricidae. The record is from Rfam.
GCCGGCGGGCCCUGGCGGCCCCUCGCGUGCGGGAGGGGGCGGGGCGAGGCGCGGCCCGGCCGACGACGGAAGUUCUUUCUGCCGGGCGGCGCCGGGACUAAACUGCCCAUAUGGCCCUGUGCGCUGUGCGAGACAAAAAUACACUUCCGGCGCAGUGCGCAGGCGCGAGAGUUCCGCCUGCUAUAUAAGGCAAGU